This 497-nucleotide ribosomal RNA is filed under the name uncultured bacterium. RNAcentral describes it as "partial 16S ribosomal RNA". It matches the Rfam family "Bacterial small subunit ribosomal RNA", at positions 28 to 507 of the family's 1533-position model. The record is from RNAcentral.
GACGAACGCUGGCGGCGUGCCUAAUACAUGCAAGUAGAACGCUGAAGAGAGGAGCUUGCUCUUCUUGGAUGAGUUGCGAACGGGUGAGUAACGCGUAGGUAACCUGCCUUGUAGCGGGGGAUAACUAUUGGAAACGAUAGCUAAUACCGCAUAACAAUGGAUGACACAUGUCAUUUAUUUGAAAGGGGCAAUUGCUCCACUACAAGAUGGACCUGCGUUGUAUUAGCUAGUAGGUGAGGUAAUGGCUCACCUAGGCGACGAUACAUAGCCGACCUGAGAGGGGGAUCGGCCACACUGGGACUGAGACACGGCCCAGACUUCUACGGGAGGCAGCAGGAGGGAAUCUUCGGCAAUGGGGGCAACCCUGACCGAGCAACGCCGCGUGAGUGAAGAAGGGUGUCGGAUCGUAAAGCUCUGUUGUAAGUCAAGAACGGGUGUGAGAGUGGAAAGUUCACACUGUGACGGUAGCUUACCAGAAAGGGACGGCUAACUACGUG